Betaproteobacteria bacterium RIFCSPLOWO2_12_61_14 is the source of this 352-nucleotide non-coding RNA. NCBI's taxonomy places the organism in Bacteria, Pseudomonadati, Pseudomonadota, Betaproteobacteria. The record is from Rfam.
GAAGCUGGCUAGACAGUCGCCGCGUCCGCAAGGGCGGGGAGGAAAGUCCGGGCUCCACAGAGCAGGAUGCCGGUUAAUGGCCGGACGCCGUGAGGCGAUGGAAAGUGCCACAGAAAAUACACCGCCGAUGGCCGCGCGAGCGGAUCAGGUAAGGUUGAAAUGGCGAGGCAAGAGCUCACCGCGCUGGUGGCAACAUUAGCGGCAGGGUAAACCCCAUCCGGAGCAAGACCAAAUAGGCAGGCCAUGACGUUGCUCGCGUCGCCUGCGGGUAGGUUGCUUGAGCGUCAGGUAACGAAACGCCUAGAGGAAUGACUGUCCACGACAGAACCCGGCUUACCGGCCAGCUUCACCU